CGCCACGGGAAACCCGCUCCCCGAGUGGUGGGACGGCUUAUUGGGCCUAAAGCAUCCGUAGCCGGCUGGACAAGUCCCCUCGUUAAAAUCCAGCGAUUCAAAUCGCUGGACUGCGGGGAGUACUGUCCAGCUAGGGGGCGGGAGAGGCCGACGGUAUUCCCGAGGUAGGGUGAAAUCUUAUAAUCUCGGGAGGACCACCAGUGGCGAAGGC
RNAcentral lists this ribosomal RNA (211 nucleotides) under uncultured archaeon. RNAcentral describes it as "partial 16S ribosomal RNA". It matches the Rfam family "Archaeal small subunit ribosomal RNA", at positions 463 to 673 of the family's 1478-position model. The record is from RNAcentral.